RNAcentral lists this ribosomal RNA (57 nucleotides) under Trichoderma koningii. Its description in RNAcentral is "partial 28S ribosomal RNA". Lineage: Eukaryota; Fungi; Ascomycota; Sordariomycetes; Hypocreales; Hypocreaceae. The record is from RNAcentral.
UGACCUCGGAUCAGGUAGGAAUACCCGCUGAACUUAAGCAUAUCAAUAAGCGGGAGA